AUUGAACGCUGGCGGCAGGCCUAACACAUGCAAGUCGAGCGGAUGAAGGGAGCUUGCUCCUGGAUUCAGCGGCGGACGGGUGAGUAAUGCCUAGGAAUCUGCCUGGUAGUGGGGGAUAACGUCCGGAAACGGGCGCUAAUACCGCAUACGUCCUGAGGGAGAAAGUGGGGGAUCUUCGGACCUCACGCUAUCAGAUGAGCCUAGGUCGGAUUAGCUAGUUGGUGGGGUAAAGGCCUACCAAGGCGACGAUCCGUAACUGGUCUGAGAGGAUGAUCAGUCACACUGGAACUGGGGCACGGUCCCGACUCCUACGGGAGGCAGCAGUGGGGAAUAUUGGACAAUGGGCGAAAGCCUGAUCCAGCCAUGCCGCGUGUGUGAAGAAGGUCUUCGGAUUGUAAAGCACUUUAAGUUGGGAGGAAGGGCAGUAAGUUAAUACCUUGCUGUUUUGACGUUACCAACAGAAUAAGCACCGGCUAACUUCGUG
This 484-nucleotide ribosomal RNA is filed under the name uncultured bacterium. RNAcentral's name for it is "partial 16S ribosomal RNA". It matches the Rfam family "Bacterial small subunit ribosomal RNA", at positions 30 to 507 of the family's 1533-position model. The record is from RNAcentral.